UGGAACCAUGGAUCUACGAUUGGCUUUAGC
This 30-nucleotide non-coding RNA is filed under the name Rattus norvegicus (Norway rat). The record is from RNAcentral. Lineage: Eukaryota; Metazoa; Chordata; Mammalia; Rodentia; Muridae.